UCUGAACUUUUUCUAAAAUUGCAAUUUAAUUCACAGGACUCGUUGAAUGUCCACAUGGUGGCACUGCAUCUUUAAAGACUGUUUUGCUCACACAGACACAGAUGAUCAUCUCUUGGAGCAAUGUGGACCCAGGGACCGCCAACUCAGAAACACCGGAGUGAGACUCACAUAGGCUGCAGUGCUGAGCUGAGGCGUGUGAAAGAUCCUGAGGAUGCAGGAAGCUGUACCAAGAUUGGGACCGCAGAGUCUCCACAUUUAGUCCCAAAUAAACAUUCACACUGAAAGUUGGAAAAAGGUAAAUGUCUCAUGUCACGGCUAUGCUGAGAACGGAAACAUGGCAGGAAGAAGCUGCUCUCUAGUGUCGAAGCUGAAGAUUGUUCUCUGUCCGGGGCAGUUCCACCUUGGGAAGUGUGAGGCUCCAGAGGAGCACAGAAACAUACCCACACUGGGUUGGAAGUCCAAUAAGAUCCUGGGGAAGACUCAUCGGGAGUUGGUGACAGGCAGUGGGAUCGGAUUAAAACAAGCUUAUUGCCUGCGCUCUGCCUACGCACUGAUUUGGAGGUGUUGAAUCUGCAGCGGAACAGACGAUCUAAGGAGGAAAGACACAAAAUAAUGAGCACUUACAUAUCUAAUAUGUAUUAUCUAUCUGUGUUUCAAAUUUUAAAAAUCUUACCUGUGUCAGGUGAAGUUGGAGGCACCAAGUUACUCCUCAUAAUAAAGUGGUCUGCAGUGUC
Molecule: long non-coding RNA, 734 nt
Organism: Megalobrama amblycephala (Wuchang bream)
Lineage: Eukaryota; Metazoa; Chordata; Actinopteri; Cypriniformes; Xenocyprididae
Exons: 4
Source: RefSeq, a predicted model, not a curated record